This is a long non-coding RNA of Amborella trichopoda, 442 nucleotides long. RefSeq lists it as uncharacterized. The record is from RefSeq and is a predicted model, not a curated record. Lineage: Eukaryota; Viridiplantae; Streptophyta; Magnoliopsida; Amborellales; Amborellaceae.
UCUCCCAAUGGCUUAGUCAAUAUAUAUGCUAGAUUGUCAUCAAUAUGAAUUUUCUGCAAUAAAAUUAUGUAUCUUCUAUCAUACCACAAACAAAGUGAUAUUCAAUAUCAAUACGUUUAAUUUUGUCAUUAAAAGCUGGAUUCGUCGCAAAAAAAAAAAAAAAUUAGGGACGCUGGGAAAGGAACAAAACCAAACUAUUGUUCUGCAACACAUGGCACAACUUAUCAUUAUAUAUGAUAUUAGGUUGAUGCGCUUUGUGGCGUGUGGGUGGUCCUGGGAUCAACAUCAAAGAAACAGCCGUCAUAGGGAUGCACACAUGAAACAUGGAUGCGGGUGUCUGACAUUUGGUGGACAUGGACAAACAUGUUGAGCCUUCUAAAUCUGCUACGGAGUGUCUAAUGGCAUCUCCCAUUUUGGACAUAUUUCGGUUUUAUGGCUUUUU